GUGGCUGUAGUUCAGUUGGUUAGAGCACCUGAUUGUGGUUCAGGAUGUCGUGGGUUCGAGUCCCAUCAGCCACCCCA
Molecule: transfer RNA, 77 nt
Filed under: Fidelibacterota bacterium
Lineage: Bacteria; Pseudomonadati; Fidelibacterota
Description: tRNA-His
Rfam family: tRNA
About the family: Transfer RNA (tRNA) molecules are approximately 80 nucleotides in length. Their secondary structure includes four short double-helical elements and three loops (D, anti-codon, and T loops). Further hydrogen bonds mediate the characteristic L-shaped molecular structure. tRNAs have two regions of fundamental functional importance: the anti-codon, which is responsible for specific mRNA codon recognition, and the 3' end, to which the tRNAs corresponding amino acid is attached (by aminoacyl-tRNA synthetases). tRNAs cope with the degeneracy of the genetic code in two manners: having more than one tRNA (with a specific anti-codon) for a particular amino acid; and 'wobble' base-pairing, i.e. permitting non-standard base-pairing at the 3rd anti-codon position.
Source: RNAcentral